GUAGGUGAACCUGCGGAAGGAUCAUUACAGAGAACUUGCCCUUCGGGGUAGAUCUCCCACCCUUUGUCUACCAUACUUUGUUGCUUUGGCAGGCCCGCUCUCGGGCCGCCGGCUUCGGCUGGCCAGCGUCUGCCAGAGGACCACAAACUCUUGUAUUUUAGUGUCGUCUGAGUACUUUAUAAUAAGUUAAAACUUUCAACAACGGAUCUCUUGGUUCUG
This 219-nucleotide unclassified non-coding RNA is filed under the name rhizosphere metagenome. Its description in RNAcentral is "partial ribosomal RNA internal transcribed spacer region". The record is from RNAcentral.